RNAcentral lists this ribosomal RNA (468 nucleotides) under uncultured bacterium. RNAcentral's name for it is "partial 16S ribosomal RNA". It matches the Rfam family "Bacterial small subunit ribosomal RNA", at positions 28 to 507 of the family's 1533-position model. The record is from RNAcentral.
GACGAACGCUGGCGGCGUGCUUAACACAUGCAAGUCGAACGGAAAGGCCCUGCUUUUGUGGGGUGCUCGAGUGGCGAACGGGUGAGUAACACGUGAGUAACCUGCCCUUGACUUUGGGAUAACUUCAGGAAACUGGGGCUAAUACCGGAUAGGAGCUCCUGCUGCAUGGUGGGGGUUGGAAAGUUUCGGCGGUUGGGGAUGGACUCGCGGCUUAUCAGCUUGUUGGUGGGGUAGUGGCUUACCAAGGCUUUGACGGGUAGCCGGCCUGAGAGGGUGACCGGCCACAAUGGGACUGAGAUACGGCCCAGACUCCUACGGGAGGCAACAGGGGGGAAUAAUGGACAAUGGGCGGAAGGCUGAAGCAGGAACGCCGCGUGGGGGAAGACGGCCUUCGGGUUGGAAACCGCUUUCGCCUGGGACGAAGCGGGAGGGACGGUAAUUGGUAAAGAAGCACCGGCUAAAUACGGG